Long non-coding RNA from Mytilus californianus (California mussel), 1925 nucleotides. RefSeq lists it as uncharacterized. The transcript is spliced from 6 exons. The record is from RefSeq and is a predicted model, not a curated record. NCBI's taxonomy places the organism in Eukaryota, Metazoa, Mollusca, Bivalvia, Mytilida, Mytilidae.
CUUUCUAUAUAUAUAUACUUCCUGGUUGACAACUUCUUCACAGUAUUACUUAAAGCUCAAUAUGAGAAAGACGUUUAUUUUUUGUGUAAAACAGAGGCGGAAGAUACCAAGGGAACAUUCAAAAUUCAAGAGGGACAGAAACCGGAGCAUAAAAGACAAGAGACGACAAAUAAUAUCAAUGUUUAAAAGAAAACUAAAUAUUGAGAUCAAGAGGACCGUUCACGAUCAACAUAUUACUCCAUCAUGAAAAGCGUAUCAUACGAUUUUUACAUCUUUUUGUAUGAUUCAGCAGAAGCUGGUUAAAGUCGUUUUGCAAUUAUAUCAAACAGAUUUAAAAAAUUGAAUAUUUCUUGUAAGUAUUAACACAUUUUUAGGACUGGUACUUAAUUAGAUUCCAUAUAAAAGAUAGGUUUCUUCAUACACCUAAAUUGCAGAAGUGGCCAAAAUAUGGCAUGUAAAGAUAUUCUACUCAAUUUCAAAAUGGUCGAAAAUUCUUGAAACAAAGCAUGUCAACAUUGUACAAUUCAGCGGGUGCAUUCGCAAGACUGAUGGAUAACAACUAUAGAGUCAAUAACUCAAACAACUAAGAAUGAAAAGAGGCUGUUUAAAUUAAACAAAAUUUUAUAGUUUUCAUGUAAGUAUUAAUCAUUUGACGUAAGGUAAGUAUAGACAUAACAAUUAUAAUAGUAUUUCAGACCUGAGGUAAGUUUGCUAUGAUCGCUUUCUAGUAAUAACUUGUCUGCUAGAUACCUGUAUUAUGCAAACUAAUGCUAAACAUUCAUUGUGCUGUACAUUUAGAAGUUAAUGUAACGUUUCAAUAGCGAAAAAGAAGGACAGCUCGGCCCUACUGUGAAUUUAACUUUAAAGUUUAUAGAUGUUUGAUCUCACCUUUAAUAAAAGAUAUGUCUUAGGGAGCUACCAUUUGAUUUUUAUGGGGGGGGGGGGGGGGGGGGGGGGGGUAGGAUGAAAUUUGAAAAAAUAGGCUUGACAGGAGUUUUGAGUAAUAAAAAAAAGGCAGGAUGAGACACUUUGCAAAAAAAAAAGGCAGGACCGAAUAGAGUGAAAAAUAAAAAGGCAGGACAGAAAUUAAAACUAUAAAAAAAUACAGGACAACAUUUUUCAUCCUGUCCCCCCCCCCCCCCCCCAUAAAAAUCAAAUGGCAGCUCCCUUAUGCUUACAUCGUCUUCAUUUCUUGAUGAUGUCUGCUUCAGAUUCUCAUCAAUUAGUAUUUUAAUUAAUUUCAAAGUGUACAGUACUUUUAUGUAGUGAUAGGGUAGUAUAUUUUGUGUCAUUUUGAAAACUCUAUUAACAAUUACUACAUUAUUGUGUUUGUAUUACAGUAACGUUACUAUCAAAUUGUUCAAAAAAAUAAUUCAUGUUACACAAAAUAUACUCCCUUUACACUAACUAGAUUAGACAUCUUUCCGUUUUAUAUUUGAUAAAAGUUUUUUUCUUUCCAAAGAGACAAAAAAUAUAUAUUUCUUUUCAGUAAAGGGCCUGAUUUAAUUUCGGUACAGAAGAUCAGUAAUGGUAACAUCGAAUUGCAUGUCAACAUGCGUUGACGAUACUAUAUAUGAAAAUCAACUGAGGCUAUUUUUGGAAAAAAAGCGUGAGUAGAUUUGAAUCAGAGUAAGGAACCAUAAAGGAGUUAGGUAAGUAAUUCUAUUUGACAGGUAAGUAUGGAUGCUUGGUUUUUACUUUUUUAUUUCAGAAAUUGGGUAAGUUUGUUUAAAGCGCUUUCUUGUACUAACAUUGUCUGCUUAACACUAGUAUAAUGGAAUGCAAUUUAUUAUUAUAAAGUUUAAUAUGAGUGAAGAAAUGCACAUUUAGAAAUUCUAAAAGUAAAAACGUGCAACUGACUGCGUACAGAUACUUUUUCAUUGGCGUUAUUCAGUUCUGAAUUAAAGGCAUACUUGGUAAAAAGU